This 496-nucleotide ribosomal RNA is filed under the name uncultured bacterium. RNAcentral describes it as "partial 16S ribosomal RNA". It matches the Rfam family "Bacterial small subunit ribosomal RNA", at positions 28 to 506 of the family's 1533-position model. The record is from RNAcentral.
GAUGAACGCUGGCGGCGUGCCUAAUACAUGCAAGUCGAGCGAACGGACGAGAAGCUUGCUCCUCUGAUGUUAGCGGCGGACGGGUGAGUAACACGUGGAUAACCUACCUAUAAGACUGGGAUAACUUCGGGAAACCGUAGCUAAUACCGGAUAAUAUUUUGAACCGCAUGGUUCAAAAGUGAAAGACGGUCUUGCUGUCACUUAUAGAUGGAUCCGCGCUGCAUUAGCUAGUUGGUAAGGUAACGGCUUACCAAGGCAACGAUGCAUAGCCGACCUGAGAGGGUGAUCGGCCACACUGGAACUGAGACACGGUCCAGACUCCUACGGGAGGCAGCAGUAGGGAAUCUUCCGCAAUGGGCGAAAGCCUGACGGAGCAACGCCGCGUGAGUGAUGAAGGUCUUCGGAUCGUAAAACUCUGUUAUUAGGGAAGAACAUAUGUGUAAGUAACUGUGCACAUCUUAACGGUACCUAAUCAGAAGGCCACGGCUAACUACGU